AAGCGGUGGAUGAUGUGGUUUAAUCGAAGCAACGCGAAGAACCUUACCAGGUCUUGACAUCCCGAUGCUAUUCUAGAGAUAGAAAGUUACUUCGGUACAUCGGUGACAGGUGGUGCAUGGUUGUCGUCAGCUCGUGUCGUGAGAUGUUGGGUUAAGUCCCGCAACGAGCGCAACCCCUAUUGUUAGUUGCCAUCAUUCAGUUGGGCACUCUAGCGAGACUGCCGGUAAUAAACCGGAGGAAGUGGGAUGACGUCAAAUCAUCAUGCCCCUUAUGACCUGGGCUACACACGUGCUACAAUGGUUGGUACAACGAGUUGCGAGUCGGUGACGGCGAGCUAAUCUCUUAAAGCCAAUCUCAGUUCGGAUUGUAGGCUGCAACUCGCCUACAUGAAGUCGGAAUCGCUAGUAAUCGCGGAUCAGCACGCCGCGGUGAAUACGUUCCCGGGCCUU
Molecule: ribosomal RNA, 450 nt
Filed under: uncultured Streptococcus sp.
Lineage: Bacteria; Bacillati; Bacillota; Bacilli; Lactobacillales; Streptococcaceae
Description: bacterial SSU rRNA
Rfam family: Bacterial small subunit ribosomal RNA
Source: RNAcentral